Molecule: non-coding RNA, 161 nt
Organism: Oryza barthii
Lineage: Eukaryota; Viridiplantae; Streptophyta; Magnoliopsida; Poales; Poaceae
Source: Rfam
ACAAACUGUCCGUCUUAUAUGUAAUUCUUUUAUAAUUAGUAUUUUUGUUGUUGUUAAAUGAUAAAACAUGAUUAAUACUUUAUGCGUGACUUAUUUUUUUUAUUUUUUUCAUAAUUUUUUAAAUAAGACAGACGGUCAAAUGUUAGCACGGAAACUCACAG